GAAAAAGUAGUUUAAAAAAAAUAAUGUUUUUGUAAAGCAUAGAGUGAAUAUUUGUUCUUUUUUCA
RNAcentral lists this transfer RNA (65 nucleotides) under Microcotyle sebastis. RNAcentral's name for it is "tRNA-Thr". Lineage: Eukaryota; Metazoa; Platyhelminthes; Monogenea; Mazocraeidea; Microcotylidae. The record is from RNAcentral.